UACCAUCUGUGUGUGUCUUCAAUGGUGGAGAACUCAUAUGCGUCGGCUCAGGGGGUACAUCAGUAGUAGCUGUGGGAAUAGGAGCUAUGGAAGUAAUAAUAGGAGAAGUGGGUACCUCGAUAGGAGCAUUUGGAGUAGGCUCAGCAACUGAAUUAAUAUACGGAGGUACCUCUGGAUCAACUGUGAUACGAGUAGAGGUAGGAACUGUCGAUGCAGAUUCUGACUCUGUCACAACUGCGGUAGUAGUAGUGGGAAGCACAGAAGGCACUGCUGAAACUGGAACCCACUGCUUCUUUGGCUCCACAAACAUCACCUUGACCUUAUCCUUAUCAGUCCAAGUAAUAGGGGGCCG
This 352-nucleotide long non-coding RNA is filed under the name Olea europaea (common olive). RNAcentral's name for it is "long non-coding RNA (OEUR_LNC015262)". Lineage: Eukaryota; Viridiplantae; Streptophyta; Magnoliopsida; Lamiales; Oleaceae. The record is from RNAcentral.